RNAcentral lists this ribosomal RNA (725 nucleotides) under Arthrobacter agilis. RNAcentral's name for it is "bacterial SSU rRNA". It matches the Rfam family "Bacterial small subunit ribosomal RNA", at positions 341 to 1069 of the family's 1533-position model. The record is from RNAcentral. Lineage: Bacteria; Bacillati; Actinomycetota; Actinomycetes; Micrococcales; Micrococcaceae.
ACGGGAGGCAGCAGUGGGGGAAUAUUGCACAAUGGGCGCAAGCUGAUGCAGCGACGCCGCGUGAGGGAUGAAGGCUUUCGGGUGUAAACCUCUUUCAGUAGGGAAGAAGCUGGCUUUCGGGUUGGUGACGGUACCUGCAGAAGAAGCGCCGGCUAACUACGUGCCAGCAGCCGCGGUAAUACGUAGGGCGCAAGCGUUAUCCGGAAUUAUUGGGCGUAAAGAGCUCGUAGGCGGUUUGUCGCGUCUGCCGUGAAAGUCCGGGGCUUAACUCCGGAUCUGCGGUGGGUACGGGCAGACUAGAGUGCAGUAGGGGAGACUGGAAUUCCUGGUGUAGCGGUGAAAUGCGCAGAUAUCAGGAGGAACACCGAUGGCGAAGGCAGGUCUCUGGGCUGUAACUGACGCUGAGGAGCGAAAGCAUGGGGAGCGAACAGGAUUAGAUACCCUGGUAGUCCAUGCCGUAAACGUUGGGCACUAGGUGUGGGGGACAUUCCACGUUUUCCGCGCCGUAGCUAACGCAUUAAGUGCCCCGCCUGGGGAGUACGGCCGCAAGGCUAAAACUCAAAGGAAUUGACGGGGGCCCGCACAAGCGGCGGAGCAUGCGGAUUAAUUCGAUGCAACGCGAAGAACCUUACCAAGGCUUGACAUGAACCGGAAUGAUGCAGAGAUGUGUCAGCCACUUGUGGCCGGUUUACAGGUGGUGCAUGGUGUCGUCAGCUCGGUCGGAG